This 273-nucleotide ribosomal RNA is filed under the name uncultured bacterium. RNAcentral describes it as "partial 16S ribosomal RNA". It matches the Rfam family "Bacterial small subunit ribosomal RNA", at positions 524 to 796 of the family's 1533-position model. The record is from RNAcentral.
GACAGAGGGUGCGAGCGUUAAUCGGAAUUACUGGGCGUAAAGCGCGCGUAGGCGGUUUGAUAAGCUGGAUGUGAAAUCCCCGGGCUCAACCUGGGAAUUGCAUCCAGAACUGUCUGACUAGAGUACAGUAGAGGUGAGUGGAAUUUCCUGUGUAGCGGUGAAAUGCGUAGAUAUAGGAAGGAACACCAGUGGCGAAGGCGGCUCACUGGCUCGAUACUGACGCUGAGGUGCGAAAGUGUGGGGAGCAAACAGGAUUAGAUACCCGCGUAGUCC